Molecule: long non-coding RNA, 573 nt
Filed under: Rattus norvegicus (Norway rat)
Lineage: Eukaryota; Metazoa; Chordata; Mammalia; Rodentia; Muridae
Description: long non-coding RNA NONRATT017554
Source: RNAcentral
CAUGAGGGGCUGCCUGAGCCGCUUUCCCAGAGAUGGGAGCCUUCUCCAUCCACCGACUCCAACAUGGGAAUUGAUGUUACUUCUGUUCUUCCUGGAGCUGUGGCUGUCUUUGUAGUUUUGGCCAUCAUUGGAGCUGUGGUGGCUAUUGUGAGGAGGAGAAACACAGGUGGGAAAGGAGACUACGCCCCUGCUCCAGCAUGAAGACAACUGCCUGGAGUGGACUGAGUGACAGACGAUGUGUUCAGGUCUCUGCUGUGACAUCCAGAGCCCUCAGUUCUCUUUAGACACCAGUGUCUGAAGUUCCCUGUGAUUCUAUGGCUUCUGUGUGAAGAACUGUGGAGCCCAGCCCGCCCUGCACACCUGGACCCUGUCCCUGCACUGCCUGUGUUCCCUUCCCCAGCCAAACUUCCUGGUCCAGCCUGGGGGUAGGGAGUGGGGACAUCUCAUCCUGUCCCUCUGUGGUGCCCUGAGAGUCAGCCCCUCACUUCCACACUGAGAAUAAGAAUCUGAGUGUGACCUUGAUUGUUCACAUCCUUGACUCAAGUGUGGAUGGCUUUUUCAAUUACUGGAUGG